GUCCAGACUCCUACGGGAGGCAGCAGUGAGGAAUAUUGGUCAAUGGGCGGGAGCCUGAACCAGCCAUGCCGCGUGAAGGCGAGUGCCCUACGGGCGUUAAACUUCUUUUGUGCGGGAGCAAUAAGGGCCACGUGUGGCCCGAUGAGAGUACCGCACGAAUAAGCAUCGGCUAACUCCGUGCCAGCAGCCGCGGUAAUACGGAGGAUGCGAGCGUUAUCCGGAUUUAUUGGGUUUAAAGGGUGCGUAGGCGGAAUGCCAAGUCAGCGGGAAAAUCGCGGGGCUCAACCUCGGCGAGCCGUUGAAACUGGCGGGCUGGAGUUGGAGAGAAGUACGCGGAAUGCGCGGUGUAGCGGUGAAAUGCUUAGAUAUCGCGCAGAACCCCGAUUGCGAAGGCAGCGUACCGGCUCCACACUGACGCUGAGGCACGAAAGCGUGGGUAUCGAACAGGAUUAGAUACCCCAGUAU
RNAcentral lists this ribosomal RNA (465 nucleotides) under uncultured bacterium. Its description in RNAcentral is "bacterial SSU rRNA". It matches the Rfam family "Bacterial small subunit ribosomal RNA", at positions 329 to 793 of the family's 1533-position model. The record is from RNAcentral.